GAGUUCUAAAGGCUGCGGGGAUAUUUGCUGGAUCCAUCUUUUUGAUGCGCACCUUUGGUGACAUGAUGGUAGUUUAAGGACGUUGUAGUGGCUGAGCAGGGUAAUGGUGGUUCCAUGCCCAUUUUCGUUGUGUGCCUUGUGAUCAGGCUUGUGGAAUAUUUGUACUCAGACUUGUCGGUUUCUUGUUGAGUUGGUGUUUGAAGCAUUUCUCGGCAGGGCUAUUUGACUGUUCUUUUUUAGUUGAGCACUUAAUCUUCUAUGAGUAUAAUAAGUUCAUGUCCAGUUUGCUGUUAGGUCAACACAACCGUAGGCUUGUGUUGAAUUAACAGUCUAAUUCUAUUGUUUAGAUGCAACAUUUUGAUUAUGUUAAUAUGGGUGUUUGCCGAUGUUCUUCUCGAAUGGCUAGUUAUUCAUUGUUCUGUGACAUUCUGGAUGCAAUCCCAGCAGUUGCAUUUCUUGAUGUCAGUUCUCAGAAACUCAUGUAGUUCAUCUGUCUUGAAUACUUCUCUGUUAAUCGGAUGCCAUCGUUGACAGGGCACACUUGCACUCCUUGGAGGAUCCCAUGCCAAAUACGGUUGUGCCUGCCCACAGGGGUUCCAAAGCGCCGUAGGCUAUUUGGUACCUACCAAUUUCGGAUGUAUGACUUCAUAAUAUAAUACUCCCUCCGUCCCAAAAUUCUUUUCUUAGAUUUGUCUAUAUACGGAUGUACCUAAUACUAAAACGUGACUUGAUACAUCCGCAUUUGGACAAAUCUAAGACAAGAAUUUUGGGACGGAGGGAGUAGAUAACUGUCACAUUCCCAACGAUAAAUAUUACUCUCUGAGUAUUGAAAUCGAAACCUGGAUGUUUCGCGUCACAGGAUGGCCGUCUCGUAUGCUUUCAUGAUGUAACCCUGGAUGUUUGCUUACAGUAGAUUUUAAAGUAGCAUGGUUUAAUAGAUUUUAAAGCGAAUUGAAAUCACAUGUUCAGGGAUCAACAGUACAAUUGUACGCCUUGUCCUCUCUUUUUCUAGCGUUAUUUAUUUUGUUUAUUGCAUUCUUCUGCCUUAGACACUGCUCAUGUUCAUAUCAAUAAUCAAAUAAAAUCAUGUUAUUUUUGGUUGCAUGUCCCGCAGAUGUCUUGGUCUUUAUUGAUUAAUAUAUAUGCAUGCUCUUAUAAAUACUUAAAUCCUAUUUUCUUUUGCCUUAAUUUAAAACACUAUUUUGCUAUGGAAUUGCCAAUGAUGAUCUCCUGCUAUAUUGUACUCCCUCUGUUCGGAGUUACUUGUCGCAAAAAUGAAUUAAAAUGGAUGUAUUUAUAGAACUAAAAUAUGCCUAGGUACAUUCAUUUUUCCGACAAGUAUUUCGGGACGGAGGGAGUAGGAAAGUAAAAGAUCCUUACAUUUGAUGAGUAUAUCUUGAUUGCACUUAAUGCUGACAGGAUGGUUGGAAUAUACCGAGAGAUCAAGGAUCCUAUUUUCUUCAACCUGAGAACAGUUUGUGUUCUCAAAGUACUGAACCAACUUUAAUGUGGAAAAUGUCUUCUUGGAAAUUCACUGUAUGAUUCUUGAAUAAUCAUGUACUAGGUAAAGUGGUCAUGUGGCAAAAAAGUUGGAGGACAGGAUCGUCGAGGCACUUCUGAAGUAUGGCUACAAAGGCGAAUACAUGUCUGAAGAUUGGCUCAAGCAGCCAGUAUUCAUCCCAUCCUUUGCUCCAACUUCACUCAUUUACAUCCCAAACAUGACAAACUCCAGAAGUUUUUCUAAUAGAUGAUACCAUAAAAAAAACUGAUAUCAGCAGUAAGCACUAGCGGGCUUUUCCUACAAAAACUCCUUUUUUUCAAAGACAUUUUCUAACGUGCAGCCGUACUAUGAGAUAACUUCAAAUGGUUAUCUCGCGUUCAUAGUAUAUACUCCACACACAUUCAGAAAUCAGAAUUCAUUCCUGCACUUCAACUUCCUCCAAGACCCUUAUGUUGAAUAUGACUAUAUGUGUACUCUUAACAAGAUCAGUAUUGCGGCCUGUUCACCGAUUUCACCGGCACCUUGCACAGGUCCCAGCACUGCACAGCUCCACUCCAUACCAAAUGAAGUAAAAUAAGGUAGAGGCACUCCUGCAUGAGAUCUCCUACAUGCUGAAGGAUGAUGGAUACUAAGCUUAUGUUCCCAAGUCUGCAUACUGUUCUCACCGUUAACACCACUGAGAAAAAGGAUGUGUGCUGCCAUUCUCUGUAAAAUAUACAAAUAAAUCACAGGAAUGCUAACUAUAGAGCAUCACAAAGUAAAAAUUGUCAUAAAAUCUGGAAGAAUUGCACUGUUUAUACUUUAUACUACUUUAUAAUGAUUCCUAGUAAAAAAAAGUAGUUCUGAAAUAAGUACUAUAUUCAUGGCAUAUUGGCAUUUAUUCUCAACUCUAAAUAAUGAGAGUAAGAUGGAAGAUAUGGUUUAACAUACACGAGGCCAAAGAAAUCUUUCUUUUUCCAUGAGACAUGUCAACGACUUAUAAAUUUACGCAGAGUCUUGCUUGUUACCUAGCCUUGAAUACAGAAUAUGAAUAUAUCUUCCUAGCGGGCCAAAUAAAGGCCCAGUUCUUUUCAGGCAAGAUUCUACAGAAUCAGGAUUCUGCAAAAUUCUCCCAAAAUCUGCUUCUCCCAGAAUCUGCCGCCGAGUUCUUUUCAGAGAUUGUAGUUUGAGAUUCUAGAAAGUGUUGUGUGUUGAAAUGCCUGUACUAUCCUUAGACAAAAAUUUCUUGGAUGAAAUGUAUUUUAUCUAUCAACAAUAGCUAGCAUCAAUUCAAGCAUUAUUCAAGCAUGAAGAAACAGAGAGAUGUAAAAAGGAGGGCUCAUCGUGAGUGUCGGCGUCGAACUUUGCGGGACGGGGCUGAGGGCCGGGACGGACUGAGGGGCGAGGAGGAGCUAAGGAGGGAAGCUGGCCGGCGGGGACGGUAACCCUAGCUGCUGCCGCGCAGCUGACGGGGCGGGGUGAACUGCUGGGCGAGGAGGGCGGGGCGGACCGGGCAAGGGAGGCUGGCUGGCGGGGGCGGGGGCGGCUCGAAGGUCCGCUGCCCCGAUGCGGUGCGGGAACUGGGAGACGAGUGCGCGGUUGGGUGCGUCCGCUCGUUGACUGCGGGGUGGCAUUUUGACCGUAAAUAUGUGAUACAAUAGGGGUACAACUAUACUUCGAAACGUUUUCUUUGGUGGGACUAGCUAGAAUCCUGAGAUUGUGGGAGAGGCCAGGUAUAUUGGGAUUUUGGGAUUGCAUUAGGAUUCUACAGAAUCCGAUUGAGAUUUUGAAAGUUCAAUCGGUUCUUUUCGCUCGGGAUUUUCGGGACCGAGAUUCUCCAUAAUCUGCUCAAAAGAACUGGGCCAAAAUCUCUCGGGGUGAAAUGUGUGUGCAUUAACUAAUUCUGGUUCCAAUGUUAUGUGGAUGCUGACCUUCAUGCGAAAUGUACGCGUGAAAACAAAUUGUGUGAGACACUUAUCACUUACAUGUUGGCCUACUACACAACAUACAUAAACAAUCACUAUAUAUAUCCAGCCUGCUUCCAUACACUACACUCCUGCUUCAUUUACUUAGUUAAAUGUGUAGGAGUUUGAUUUUUUUUUCGUUGGUAAAGUUCUGAGAUAGUGGAGGCAACCACAGACUCAAUGGAGUAUGUCGCGAGCUUAGGAUGUCUCGGAAGUUACAGACAAUCAAAUACGGCGUGUGUGUCAUGUUUAGGCUGCCGUGGGCCAUGGUUAGUAGUUGUUCUUACCAGCUGAUCAAGAAUUCGUCCGAUUAAUCAGUUAACGGACUAGUUAAUCGCUACUUGUAGGAUGGUCAAAUCGAAUAGCACAUAUUUGGCGCGUUAACUUGCCAUGCCGAUUAACUGGCGUGGUUGGUAUAUUGCAUAGCUGAGAGUUUGAGAGUAUGGUGUAAUACAUAAAAGAUUAGAUAUAUGUUGCCAGACAAAGUUCGGCAUGCUUCUCGAGAGGACCGGACAAGAAGUUCUGGAAGAAAAUGCGGAGGCUUCCGAUUCCACCCAAAGUUCCGAAUUUUUGGUGGCGGGUCAUCAAGGGUUUUGUCCCUUCUAGAGGGGUAUUAUGCCAAAGACAUAUUUAGCAGGUUGAUUUCUGCCAUGCUUGUGGGCAACAGGAUACCAUUCGGCAUGCUUUAUUCGAGUGUACUUAGGCAAGAAUGUUUUGGCAAGAGAUCAAGAAAUUGACAUCAACUAAGGUACCGCUCACGCACCCUGAAACCUGGGUGAUGGACUUGCAUCAUUCUAUGCGGUUCAUGGGCUGUUUGGACGGAGAGAAAUGCACGCAACCAUGGAGAAACUACUCGGUCCAUAGCACAAUCUGUAAAAUGGGCAAUUGAUGUAGCCACAGAUCUCGCAGUUACAGGAUCACAACAUGUAGUACGCGUGAACAAAGAACUGCAGAAGUGGAAACCGCAAGAAGAAAGGUUCACUAAAGUUAAUGUGGAUGCUGCGUUCUGGGGAGAAACUCAUGAAGGAGGGACUGGCGCAGGUCUGCAAAAUCAUGAUGGUAAGCUGCUCAGAGCAUAAUCCAUAUGGUAUGAAAACGGGUCUUAAUGCAAGAUCACUUGAGGCAUAUGCUAUCAGAGAUGGCAUAUAAUUGGCUGCAGACUUGGGGUAUCGGAAGGUCAUUAUUGAGUCUGAUGCUCAACAAGUUAUAAAACAGUGCAAUUCUCCUGGGGUAGAUCGAUCGGAGAUAGCGACCACUGUGAACGAGAUACAAGAGCUUUGCGGGAAUUUUGAGGAACUUCGGUUGGUGUUUAUUCAUAGAGAAGCAAAUGAAUUAGUGCAUCUUUGUGCUAGGCAAUGUAGUUCCUCUAGGAGAAGAUGCAUCUGGAUUAAUUAUGUCCCAUCCUUCCUUACGGCUUGUGUAAUGAAGGAAUGUAAUCCCGUUGAUUAAAUCAAUAAAGCUCUUGAAAUCCAAAAAAAAAGAUAAAUGUCGCCAGGUUCAUAUUUAAUCUACUAAUUUAUGAUCGACCAAUUAAUCCAGUUGUUAGGACGGUUCAUCGAUUAGUCGCUACUCCCAAGCCAACCGAGCAUGUACCAGUUACUUGUUUCCUGGACAAUGUUCUCACCAUUACUGGUUUUUGAUAAUAGUUAUAUUGCUGGGUAAGAAGAUCUGGGAACGCCCGCCCGAUACGUUUCCAGAAAUAAUAGCAAUCCAAAUAGGACAGGGAACGAGGCACAGUGUCACUCGGAUACGAGUGCUCGGUGCUCCGAAAUCCCAAUACGACUCGGACAUGCACGGCCGGAUCCCAACGAAUAAAUACGUUACUCCAUGAGCUGUGAGCACCUACGUACCUAAGAUUGCUGGCACGACUCAAGAACCAGACGAUCCAUCAUCAUGUACGGGGCCAGUCCGGCGAAAUUCCGGUCGUUCACGCCGCCGGCAAUCACCCUGCAGCCCCCGCUCCCGCCCCACGACGACCCAUGGCCGACCUCCGCCCCUCUGCAGCCCGCGACUCCCCUCGCCGAGCCCGCCGGCGCCAAGGCUUACGAUCAAGAAAUCACCGCGUGCCACCGGUCCGUGGAGGCCGCGGCGCCGGACUACACCUCGAUGAUGUCGGUGCCCCAGAAGCCGGAGACCCCGCCCAUCCUCGCCGUCCUCGUCAAGUGGAUCGCCUCCGUCGCGGUCGGCUUCAAGACGCAGCUACGGUGCGACCUUGAUAUGUGACACCAGUCACCAGGCCGCCUCAUUAUUAAUUUAUUACAGGAAAGAACAGAUCUGUACACUCGCAACGGUCGCAUUAGUAUAUUCUUUUUUCAGGGAUGCAUUAGUUUAUUCUUUGGCAUGCUUGUUGUAGUUGUGUAUUUUUUUAAGAGUCAAUUACAUCAUAGGUGUCUGAACUUGGCGAGAAAAAUCAGUUUGGUGUUAAAACUUGCGGCAUACAUUGAACCGGUGACAGAACUUGGCUUAGGCGUGCAUCUACGGUGCUAAUCACGUUUGUAUACGCAUGGUGUGCUGACGAGGAACACCAACGUGGCGCCGGACCCAGCGUCGGUGACUGCAAGGCGGGGAGGAGGGUGUGUGGCCUGGUUUUUGCAGAAAGCACCCUGGAAUUCUUUUCCUCAUAGAAAAGCCCCUGAAUGAAUACCAAAUCUUGCAAAAAUACCGUGAAACUUAACGACGUCUCUAUGACCCUUGAGGCCCACCCGUCAGGAAAUAAUAGGAAGAGAUAAUAAUAUAUGUAGAUAAAGAGGUGCGCACCAGGGACAUCACACUACGGAGAUGACAAUGCUAACCACCGCACCAAGUCUAGUUUGGUGUCAACAGGGGUAGCUAUAUACAUUUUUUUAGGCAAGGGUAGCUAUAUACGUGACUCCACCCUAACAAGACUGCCAUGUGGGCCCCAGUGUCAGUGACUGGACCACACAGGAGAGGGCGUGUGCGAUGGAAUUUUUAUUUUCACACAAAAGAGAACCUCGAUUUUUCUUAAAAAAACACUGAGACGUCACUAUACAUCUCUAUGACCUUUGGGUCCCAUCCCGCAGGAUACAUUACAAAGAUCAAAUUGAUAUGCAAAAUAUUGUGCCUCACAGGUUCGAACCAAAGACCUGACCCCAUCUGGUCGGCUGCCGAAAUGGCCCAUUUUUCACGCGUUAUUUUUUCUAAAUUAUAAAUAUUAUAUAUAAAGCCGCAAAAAUACAAAUAAAAUAAUGUUUAUGUAAUUCUAAAAAACAUUAUUGUCUAAAUUAUUUUAUGUAAUUCUAAAAAAUAUUCUUUUUAAAAUAAUGUUCACGUAAUUCAUAAAACUGUUCUUAUCUAAAAGAAUAUUCAUGAAAUUCUAAAAAUAUAUGAAAAAUAUUUAUGUAUUAUUUGGAAAAAUAUUUCUAUAACUAAAAUAACAAAUAUGAAUUAUAAUAGUAUUUAUCAAUUGGAAAAACUAUGGUGUGCAAAAUGGGGCGCGGUCGCUCCAGAUCAUUUAAGCCGCAUGUGCGUGAUUGUAGUUAUUAACUACUGCUAUCCUGUAUAAUAAGCAAUGUGGCCUUGUUGUUGUGGCUAGAAUGAUCGUUUUAUUAUCGUGAGGUCGCGGGUUUGAACUGACACUUGGUUUUCGAUGUUAUAAUAUCCUUUUGUACUGUUUCCGGAUGGGUGGGCCGGGUCAUAGAGAUGUAGUUACGUUUCAAGGGAUUUUCCCAAGAUUUGUAUUCAGUCAGGGUUUUUUUUGUGAAGAAAAAAAUAAUUCCAGGGUGUUUCCUACAAAAACCAGGCCACACCCCUCCUCUCCUCCUUCCAGCGUAUUCAGUCAUGGGCUUUUUUGUAAAGAAAAAAUAAUUCUAGGGUGUUUUCUAAAAAAACAGGCCACACGACCUUCUUCCUGCCUUCCGGUCACUGACACUAGGGCCCGCGCCACGUUGACGUGCCUCAUCAGCACACCAUGCGUAUACAAACGUGAUUAGCACCAUAGAUGCACGCCCAAGCCAAGUUUUGUUACUGGUUCAAUGUAUGCCACAAGUUUUAGCACUAAACUGACUUUUCUUGCCAAGUUCCGGCACCUGUGGUGUAAUUGACUCUUUUUUUAAUUUUCGAUUAACAGUUGUGUAUGCUUCUUCGCAAAAAAAGACAGUCGUGUAUGCUGGUGUAUAUAUAUAUAAUCGGAGGUAAUAUCACUGGUAGUGAUACAACUUGCAUUGGAUGUGCAGUUUAGUGUUACAACUUUCAAAAUACAUUUUUCUGAUCAUACAACUUGCGUUUUGGUGGAGAUACGGUCAUUCCGUCUGCAUCCGCCGCUGGCGUGGCAUGCUAUGCAUGCAAGGGGCCACUGUUAGUGACCGAAAACAUCCUGGAGCAACCUGCGCGUGGUUUUCUUGCAUAGACCCCCCUUAACUUGUUAUUAUGUGCGCAAAAAAGUCCCUAGAACGGCGGGAACAGGCGGCCCAUGCAUAUUUGCGAGUGGCACCCCAAUAGCGCGAGAUUAUCGGGCUAUCUUCCGAUGAUGACGAGAACUAGAACUUUCUUCAGUUCAGAUUAGUCUGUCAGCUAAUUUCGGUUCAGUAAUUGCUAUCUUCAGAUUUCGUCAGCGAGUUCAGUAAUAUUAGUGUGCUUAGCAAGUUAAGUUAUCUCUAUUUCAGCAAGUUCAAUUAUCUUUAGUCCAAUUUACAAUGUAAUGUACACUAUAUUUAGUCUGUUUCGAUGCAAAUUUUAUAUUCUGUCAUUUCCAACAAGUGUCACAUUGCAAACACAAAAAUCACAUUACAUCUCUUAACCAUGUUCAAAAUGCAAAGAUAAUGGCACACAUUACAUCUUCAGGCCUCUUACAUCUUUCUUCCUACUAAUUCUUGAUUGCUACUGCAAAGAGAAUGGCACACAAGCCAAAACAAAGGCUAAUUGUGAACACUAGCAUCCUCUCUCUACACAACAACUAUUCCCUGUGAAUCCUUGCAAGCAACUUCUUCUCCAUCUUGCGCUUCUCCCUCAUGGACUGCUUCGCUGCUUCCUUCUCCUCAACUUGAUUCUCAAGCAGCUUGUUCUUCCUAGACAGAUCACAAAUGACAGACCUUUCCCAUGCACUCCAUUCUGGAUCACGCCGCUGCACAUGUGAGAAAUCCUAUACACGUAAUAAACACAUAAAUUCAGCGAUAAACUACAUCUCAUACAACAUAAAAAACAUUUACAAUACUCCCUUACCUCAUAUUGGGAUCCCAAAAGCAUCCUCCAAAGUUGCUCCCUUCUGUUGCCCCACGACGAGCAGAACUUAUGCAUGCCUACCAUUCUCAACAUUCCGCUCCACCCCAUUGAACUGGGCAUCAAACUUGUGUUGUGGCAGUCCAAAAACAAAUUGCGGGAGCUCAUCUACCUAAAAAGCAAAUCUUUCUCAAUAACGGACGAAGCUUUCAUGCAAGAGAUUCAGACAGGACAAGGCAUUACCUCCGUGUUUUUCUUCGAUCCGAAGUGGUAAACAGGCGCGGCCUUCCAUUCCUCCUCUUCGUCGCGAUUGCCAACACCGGAGCCACCCAUCUCACCAAACCAAGAGGGGUAAAAACCAGAUCCUGCCGUCGGCGACCUUUUCCUCACCUCGACACCGACGGCCUCAACAACCUCCUCCCCCAAGCCAGCAGCAGCCGUCGUCGCCCGCCUAGGGUUCUAACACCACAGAUUUGGGAACUAGGAGGAUUUGCAAACAAAGGAGACCACCAGAAGAGGUUAUGUUGGGGCCACUGUAUGCAUGAACUUUUUUACGUGAAUAAAUGUUUUCUGAGGCGGGUCCGUGCAAGAAAACCAUGCGCGGGUUGCUCCAGGGCAUUUUCUGUCACUGACUGUGGCCCCGUGCAUGCAUGGCAUGCCACACCAGCGGCGGAUAUGGACGUAAUGACCGUAUCUGCACCAAAACGCAAGUUGUAUGACCAGAAAAAUGUAUUUUGAAAGUUGUAGCACUAAACUGUACAUCCAACGCAAGUUGUAUGACUACGAGUGAUAUUACCUCUUUUCUUUUGUUGGGGUGAGAUCUUGAUUCUGAGAUUGGUUUUUUAUUUAUACGAGGGAGGUGAUAUCUCUUUCUUUUAUCAUACAUGAUUCUGAUAUUUCUUUUUUAAUUUAUUAGGGACGUGAUAUCUCUUUGUUAUUGUGACACUAGUAAGUGUGCACGUGCAACGCACGUUUUGAUUAAUACCCAUAAGUUAUAAAUGAUACAAUUGGACAUAGAACAAAAGCAUCCAAAUCAAAUCAUGUGCAUACACACAAUCAACACUAUUCACCCAUACGUCUUGCUCUUUUCCUCGUACGUAUAAUUAUUGCGCAAAGAACAUUUGUUAUGGAUCUGAUACAUUUUUCUGCCGACUCAACCUUCCAACCUUGGCUCAAUAAUUGGAAGAGAAUAAACAAAACUACAAAAUCAAGAACCGGGUCUUAAAGACCUAAGUUCCCAGAGGAUUGGUUCUAUUCAACUCCUAACCUGUCACGUACGACAAAGAAUCAUCUUGCAAGAACCAGAGAUAAAAAAGCACGUGAUCUUGGUAAGAUUACACCGUCAAAAAGAAAAUCUUGAUGAGAUUAGUGAAAUUUAGAAGGAUUCGAACAUAACUGUGAUGCUAUGAAAAAUUCCACCCCAUACAAAGUAGGGAAAAUAUUCUUUAUAAAUAUGUAACAUUCUCCAAGAUAACUCAUGAGCCUCACCAGAACAAAUCUCAUAGAAUGAAUAUCACAUCUUUGUAGUGAACGGAUAUAGCAAUUACAUUCAUAUAGAAUAAUUAGUUACGACAUUGUCACCUACUCACCUGAUCGUCUUCAGUCGCAUGCUUGCCGCUCCACUAUAUGGGCUAGAGAAGUGGCAUGCAGCAAGGCUGGGGUGUGGGCGAGGUGCAAUGCCGGAUCGUUUACGAUGGCAGAAGGAUAAUGUGGGACGGCUGCGGGCGUGGCCAAGUGGUGUGGGACGGAAGCCCCGACUGACAUCCGUCUGUGAGGCUCUUAGCUACCAAGAGUUCUGGGGCAAGUGUAGGUGUUCCCUUAAUUUAGAGUCUCCAUAGCAAACUCUGUUAAGAAAUAAGGGAAAGCAUUGAAAUGAAAAUAUGCUAAGGUAACUAUGUAGAGAGAAAGGGAAACGACUAACGGGUUGCUUCCCAAUCUUCAGUCACAACACCAAAUUGACACAAAAAAUACUACUAUAUUAUGAAAAAAUUUAUACCUGCAUUAUCCACUGUUAGAGUACGUAAUGGGCCUAAUGGGCCCAUUAGUCUUAGGGUUAAUUAGAGAUAAGGGUCGCUUACUUAGGGGUCAAGUAAGCCUUGCUUGAGAGUCAAGUAAACCUCUCUAUAUAAAAAGAGGAGAUGUAUCAAUCUAAUCAAGCAAGAAUUAAGAAGGAAAUCCCUUCCCUCUUGCCCGGCCGUGGGCAAAAAGGCCCCCGGCCGGCCCUCUCGCGCCCUCCUUCUAGCAGCGCCAUAACAAUUUGGUAUCAGAUAGCUCAGUUCCGAUCAUGUCUUCGCCGCCGCCCAUCCCAUCGCUUCCGCUGCCGACCGUGACCACCGCGCCGCUGGCCAUCUACACCGCGCCGCUGCCCUCCCCGUCCGCGCUACUGGUCGCAUCCUUUGGCGCCACCACCGCACCACCGGCCGCCGCCUACACCCCGGAGGAGAUCACCGGGGUCCUCAACGACCUCAUCACAGCCAUCCAGGGGAUCCAGCUGUACCUGGCUAGCCCCUACGGGCCGCCGCCGACCGCUGCCAUCGGGCCGCCGGCCCUGCCGUGGUACUCGCUGCAUCCAGGGGCCUCCGCGGCGUUCACUGGGACGCUGCAGCCCCAGCUGCAGCUGCCGCCGCCGCCCGCAGUGGCCGCCGCAGGCUCCCGCCGCGCCUCCAGCGCCCAUCGCCGCCUCCGCGCCGCCGUGGCUGCCGUGGCAGCCGCCACACCAGGAGGCCUUCGCCGUGCUCGCCGGGCCACUGUAGCAGCCGCUGCAGCUGCCAUCCAUCGCCACCACCGCCCAGCCUUGGCUGCAGUGGCAGCCGCCGCUCCUGGCGGCCUCCGCCGCGCCCGGCGCUCCAUCGCAGCAGCCGCUGUCGCUGCCCGGUGCGCCACCGCAGCAGCCGCUGCAGCUGAAGCAGCCACCGCCGGUCAGCUCCGGCCCCGCAUCGACCGCGCCGGCUGGAGUCCUGCUCCACCAAGUCCAGUCCCCGCCAUCGCCGUCACCGCUUCCUUCUUGGAUCGCUACCCGCCACGUUUCGACAGCGGUGAGGCUGCAGGCUGCUGCGCGUGGCCUCCUAGCGCGUCGGCGUGUGCGGGAGAUGCGUGGUCUGCAGCUGUCGCUCCUCCAAGUUGCCCUUCGCUGCGCAGAGGACCUCGAUCUCAUCCGCUGCGUCGGGGAUCUUGGGCAUGCGGUUUCCCCCAAGGGCGGUGGGCCUACUGCUUUCCCCGCGGGCAGCGACCUCAAAGUCUGCGACAUUGCCGGUUGGGGGGGCGCACCCCUCCUCGUCAUUCUCCAUCACAAGCCCUCCACUCUUCCCUGUGCGGUGCAAACCAACAGCCGUCCGGCAGGGAGAAGGCAUGGUGUCACCGACAGCAGCGCACCGCGUAGCACCACUGCAUUCCGCCACCGGCCGCCGCGAGAGCGCCUCUGCUGGUCACUCUUGCGACCACUUCCAGGUGGUCAUACACAUGCACUCCUUUUGUCCAGGUGGUGUCCAUGGGAUCCAGGUGGCUGUACACGUGCACGUCCGACUGCGGAUGGUGUCCAUUUUUUGUUAAAGGGUCCAAAAUAAAGCGUCCCAGUCCAUUUCAGGUUGAGAAUAAUAAAACAAGCCGAGAUGUAAAAGGCUUGUUUUUAGGUGUUAGGUUUGUGUUGCGUCGAGUCAUGGUUAUAAGUUGGUUAGGCUGCAGCUCGAGGACAAGCUGCAUGUCCAGGUGGGGUGUAGUGUUAGAGUACGUAAUGGGCCUAAUGGGCCCAUUAGUCUUAGGGUUAAUUAGAGAUAAGGGUCGCUUGCUUAGGGGUCAAGUAAGCCUUGCUUGGGAGUCAAGUAAACCUCUCUAUAUAAAGAGAGGAGAUGUAUCAAUCUAAUCAAGCAAGAAUUAAGAAGGAAACCCCUUCCCUCUUGCCCGGCCGUGGGCAAAAAGGCCCCCGGCCGGCCCUCUCGCGCCCUCCUUCUAGCAGCGCCAUAACAUCCACACUGCAUCCAUACUACUAUAUUGAGGAAAUUUUAGGACCAAGUGAUAAAAUAUAUGCCAUUUUCACUGUCAGUGCUUUCUUUGGGGCUGAAUUCCUCUCUCAUUUUGUCGGUGGAGAAUUCUCUUUGGACUUGUGUCAACUCAAAGAAAUAACCAAGUGUCCAUAUAUCGUUUGUUUCCAACACCAUCAGCUGCAGUGAAUGAAGACAUCUAGUGAGCGACCACAUAAUCCACACAUCUAGGUUCCAGGGGUGGGACUUACUCAACAUUCAGUCACAUCAUCAUAAACACUUGGAGAUCAAUUCUGAAAACUGAAUAACAUGCCAAAGAUGAAACAAAAUACUUUCAAACUACAAGUAUCAUGCCGAAGAAAUCCAAUUAAUCUAGUCCAAUGCAGGUGCUUCCAAUCUAAUAUUCCUAGUAGCAACAAGCCAUGUUGUAAGCAGGGAAUUUUGAUACAGCUACGUAUAUCCAAGUGUUGCAAACAGGAGUUUAUAUGUCAGGAGCAGGAAAGUUAGUAGCAAGAAAAAUCACGUCAGAUAGAACACAUUAACAAAACACAGAUUUUGCCACAUUAUUACAUAGAACUUCAUUCUCUUUUUGGUAGGUCUUAACCUAGUGUCAUCACGAGCUCUGGAAUCAACACUAUCAACUAUAUCUUUGAAUGACGGCAUUUCUUUCGUGAGACAUAUUUCUAGAAAAGAGUUACUACAAAUACAUCUGACAGACCGAUGUGAAAUAUGUCAACAUAAGGAGUUCAAAGUAAGCUUUGUAUUGUAGGAUGAAUGAAUGGAGUGGCAUGGAGAAUUGGCAAAGAAGCGAAUCUUCCUUUGACCUAGACUGUAGAUCUCAAGAAAACAAGAUCCGGAGGAAGACAGAGGACAAAAUGUGUGCUGCGGAGGGCGACACGUGUGUCAUGGAGGUGACCCUCUUCCUAGCCGCCUUUCCACACCUCAUAGCCUUCUGCACCCCCACUGCACUCCAUAGGUUGCCCUCCCGUCUCGCAUUCCAAGCCUUCCAUGCCGCCGCAUGCCGGAAGCCGGAGGAACGCAUCGCCUUCACGCACACACCCUCCGCCGUGCAGCUGCCAUGACACCAUCGCACCCACGCCACAAGGGCCACCACGCGUCGCUCUGCCGCCAUGGCCCGCACCCACCGCCGCGUCCGUGGGUGCCCGCUGCGUCCUAGUCCGCCGCCGCUGGUCGAGGGGGGAGAGGGACCUUGCCGGCACUGACGCAGGCCGAGCACUCUGGUUCCGCGCCACCGCUUCUCGAGGGAGGAGACACAGGCCGAGCGGCACGCGUCAUGCUGCGGGCGGCACGAGGCCGGGGACGCCGUCGCUCCUGCUUCCUUGGUGGCAUGGCGGGGACGAGGAGGGAGUGUGGGGAUCGUGUGUUAGUUUCCAGCAAGUGCGUGAUUACAGGAGAUGCGUUGAAUUUUUAUCUGGGGUGAGUAAUUCCAUCGCAUUUUUUUCAUGCCUUGCAUGAUUUACGGGGAUGCGUUUUGCGGGCCUGAAGUUUCCUCUGCGGUGGAAUUUGUUCAGUCAAACUAAAUUACUAAGUACACACAAAAGAAGAAUUAGAUUAAAAUAAAGUGUUAGAUUAAAUUUAGUGGGUCUAAUUCUAUGGUGAUAAUGGAUUCGUGUACAUUUUGUGGGGUGUGUUUAAAGAAAUUCUUGUUUGAUUGUUUAACGGAAAUGUUACGUGUGGGCGUUCACCAUCUCGAACACACGCAACGAUCACCGUUGGGGACUUUGUGUACGAAUCUUGGCACAAUCCGGUCAUUUUUCUGCGCCACGUAGGACGAGGCGCGUGUGCGGUGUGCGAGACCGGUCGCCCGCAUGUUGGUUGCCCUCCCGCGGUCAGCAGUUGCCACUCGGGGGCGUGCGGUGGAACCGCUAUGCGCCCGCAUGCCACGCGCCGACCGCGGUUAUCGUCAAACACGUCACGCACCUCUCCCCCUCUCCCUCAUGGUGCCAUUUACUAACCCCCGCAGUUGCUGGCACAACCCACUUCGCUUUCCAAACCAUUGGAGGAGAAGGCGAGGGGAGAAGGCGACGACGUAGGUGGAAGAAUCGACGGUGUUCGCGGCCGUCGGUGGUGCUUGCCGAAACGGUGCGGCUUCGCCGGAGGGCCUGCGGAUUGAAGGUAAUGCUCGCUCCAACUCUCGCAAUCCCUUCCUGCAUUUUCCCCCCUUCCCUCCCUGUUUGAUUCCUCGCUCGAGAUUCGUAGAGAUUCAGGCGAUUUGGCGGUGCGUCGACGUUCCCGUCGACGGCGGAGUCCUGUGCGCUAGCCGUUUUCGGUGGCACUGGGCAGUUUCGUGGACGCCGCGGUGGCUCCCUCAUCGGGGUGGUUAUGCCUGUCCAGAGACACGCACUAGGUGGGCCUUGGGAUUGGGCAGGUGUCUGCCGGUUUGUUAGUUGCGCAUUGGUUCGAAUUGGUGUUUGCAAUCAGUUCGGGGGAGAACUUUGAGGUUGAAUUUGAAGUCACUGUAGUUGCCAUUGAACCCUAGAUCUAGUUAGUUGUUUUUGAAACUGCAUUAUGAGGCAAACGUGGUAGUUUUGAUUAGCUAUCAUGACUGUAUGGCAACUACCUUCCUGAAUGAAUGCGAUAAUUGCCACAAACGUGCUCCCCCAUGCGGCAACUAACUUACUGAAAUGACAGUGAUAGUUGCCACAAUCAAGCUUUCCCAUGCGGCAACCAAGUUAUUGAAUGACAGUGAUAGUUGCCACACACACGCUCUUCCAUGUGGCAACUAAUUUGCUGAAUUACUGUGAUAGCAGCCACAAACAUGUUGUUUCAUUAUGGCAACUAAUUUUCCUGGAUGAUUUGUGAUAGUUGCCACACUGUAUGAAUGGUAAAGUGUAGUAAAUCGGUAGUCAAUGAAGUUUCAGUAACCAACUGCACUGGACGGCAACUAACGUGCACAUCAACCUUGCCUGUUGCCACAUGGACAGUAUAUUCUUGUGGCAAAUAGAAUGUGAACACAUUGUGUCUGUUGCCAUACCGUAGACAGGACUAUGUGGCAAACUGGCUGCAUAACAUGGCAACCAAUUUUGCACAUCAAAUUGUAUCAGAUGCCAUACAUAUGCUUUCCAUGUGGCAAUUUCCUGUCCGACCACAACAUGUAUGUUGCCAUGUUACAGUCAGUACAAUGUGGCAAAAUCAUUGUACUACAGACGCAAUUUUUGUGUUUUUGCCACAAUGACUUGCGAUAUCUGAACACACUGUGGCAAUUUUCAGGUUCUUUGAUUAGAUGUUUUUCAUUGCUUUUUUGUAUUACGUGUUGCAUUUUUAACAUGGCAAUUCAACCCUAGCAUAUUUUUGCCGCUGAACAGAUGGCAUUUCAUUGGUGUAUUUUUAGGACAGGGUGUGAGCUGCCACAUUUUAGUUUUUGUGAUGUGGAGGAUUUUGAGACUAUCUAUCGUACUAUCUUUGGCUAACAUGGCAACUUCAACAUUUUGUUUCAAGUGCAUUUACGAUAUGUACACCUUUUUUCAGAAAAUGCAACCAAUGUGCUUACUUGCCACGUUUAUGUUUUCGACAAUCACAAGAGGGGUGCGUGUGUGUUCACUAAUUGACAUUUUCUGUUGAGUGGCAACUGCUUACCUCUUUGCAUUUUUUCGUUUCCACUGUGACAAUUUUGGUCUGUUCCUAUCUCAGCAGAAUGGCUCGUGGCGAUCAUCAAAAUGAUGACGAUGAUUUCAUGGAUCCACCACAGCAUAAUCAGGCAGUUGGAUGGAAAAAAGAGGGUGAUGAGGUAACUGUCCACACACCUCCCCUCCCCCCCUCCUACUGCUUAUGUUUCUGGAUGCCACCUUGAGCUUUGCAGUUGUCUGUCAUGAACUAAAAUUUCAUGACAGUGCAAAACAUGGCAACAACUGAUCCCUUUUUGUCUCUUUUUUGCAGAAGAAUAAACGUAUUCGCAACAGAGCCUCCCAAGAACGACUGACUAUGUUGACCGACAGAUUUACCGACGAUCAGAAAGGAGCUGUUGCUGAGAUGGGUAUGCAGGCUCUGAUGAACGUCCGGUGCACGAAUCUUGUCAACCCUGUAUGCGACUGGCUUGGUGAGAUUUACGACCCCGCCUCCAGGGAGUUUUUGAUUCCGGGACGUGGAAGACUACCGUUGAACGAGGAAUCCGUGUUCUGCACUUUGGGUGUGCCUCGUGGACAGAUGAAAGUCCCGUACGAGGUCAAUAACGAGAUCGAGGAAGCGUUGUUCCCCCGUUUGUUUCCUGGGUUGGAAUCCAUGUCGAACACGUCUGUACUGGUAGAUCCGCUGCAGGCAAUGACGACCCACGAAGAUGUUUUUAAGAUGAAGCUACUCAUGUAUAUCAUCUCAGCCGUUUUUUCCGCCGACCACUUCUCUUCGGCCAAGCAACAAAUGAUUUCUCAUCCUGGUGAAUGGUCCAUCCUUACUACUUUAUUUUCCUACAAUGUAUUUGGAUCCGAUGUCAUGUGUAAAGCUAGUCACUGCCAGUGCUUUUUGAUGUUUUUUUUUCAUUUGAAUUCUGAUGCGGCAACUUGUUGCCCUGAAAAUCUUGUGCGGUGCAGGCAAAACUGAAAGAUGUGAAGAACAUGAACUGGUGUAAGUUCAUAGCCGACUUCCUGCACGAUGCAUUCUCAAGCAAGAUGUACCAAAAGGGUUGUCGACUGCCUUUAAUGGUAUUUUUUUACCAGUCUUAUUUUGUGAACACUCUUUUUUAA
Molecule: long non-coding RNA, 17293 nt
Filed under: Triticum aestivum (bread wheat)
Lineage: Eukaryota; Viridiplantae; Streptophyta; Magnoliopsida; Poales; Poaceae
Description: long non-coding RNA (TAES_LNC002832)
Rfam family: MIR1120/MIR1122 microRNA precursor family (bases 653-787)
Source: RNAcentral